Molecule: ribosomal RNA, 743 nt
Filed under: Pseudoalteromonas sp. UST040911-003
Lineage: Bacteria; Pseudomonadati; Pseudomonadota; Gammaproteobacteria; Alteromonadales; Pseudoalteromonadaceae
Description: partial 16S ribosomal RNA
Rfam family: Bacterial small subunit ribosomal RNA
Source: RNAcentral
UGUGGCUUGAGCGCGAAGGRUUGACAUGSSKGAMSCUCGAUGCAUKMAYGCCGYGUGUGUGAAGCAAGGCCUYCGGGUUGUUAAAGCACUUUCAGUUGUGAGGAAAAGUUAGUAGUUAAUACCUGCUAGCCGUGACGUUAACAACAGAAGAAGCACCGGCUAACUCCGUGCCAGCAGCCGCGGUAAUACGGAGGGUGCGAGCGUUAAUCGGAAUUACUGGGCGUAAAGCGCACGCAGGCGGUUUGUUAAGCUAGAUGUGAAAGCCCCGGGCUCAACCUGGGAUGGUCAUUUAGAACUGGCAGACUAGAGUCUUGGAGAGGGGAGUGGAAUUCCAGGUGUAGCGGUGAAAUGCGUAGAUAUCUGGAGGAACAUCAGUGGCGAAGGCGACUCCCUGGCCAAAGACUGACGCUCAUGUGCGAAAGUGUGGGUAGCGAACAGGAUUAGAUACCCUGGUAGUCCACACCGUAAACGCUGUCUACUAGCUGUGUGUGCCUUUAAGGCGUGCGUAGCGAAAGCUAACGCGCUAAGGUAGACCCGCCCUUGGGGAAKUMCAGGCCCGCARGKUUAAAMYUCAAWUAGAWUUNGACGGGGGCCCGCACAAGCGUGUUGAGACGCAUGUGGUUWACAUCUCGAUGCAACGCAGAAGAACCUUACCUACWCUUGACAGUGCUGAGAACGUYACUAGAGAUAGUUYSGUGCCUUCGGSRACUCAGACACAGGUSCUGCAUGCUGYCSCGGGGGGG